Hipposideros armiger (great roundleaf bat) is the source of this 2231-nucleotide long non-coding RNA. RefSeq lists it as uncharacterized. Lineage: Eukaryota; Metazoa; Chordata; Mammalia; Chiroptera; Hipposideridae. The record is from RefSeq and is a predicted model, not a curated record. The transcript has 5 exons.
AGUUCAUGGGGUGAGUGUGGCCUGCCACUCUCCACUCUGCAGCACGGCGGGGAAUUCAUUCGGCAACAGGAGCUGAAGUCCUGGGCGGUCACUGGAGCCCUUGCUCACUCAGACAGAGGAGCCCCAGGAAGCACCUGAGAGUCACACCUGGGCCCGGCAGGGCACCGAGCUCACUGCCAUCUCACACUUAGAUGACAGAGGGAAGCUGUGCCUCCUUGGCAGGCAGGACCCUAGCCAACAGGUAAAGCUGCUUUACGGCAUCACUGUUUCCUGUGUCCUUCAUGUGCCAGGCACUGUACUGGGGCCUGGGGACAAAGCGAGGCAAGAAGACGGAGCGGAUCUCUGACUUUCUGGAUGUUGCAGUUGAGUUGGGGGAGAUGACUGGCAUCUGAGGGACCACACAGCCCGAGUGUCACACAUGGAGGAAGGCGUUCUCUUCUCCCUAAUCCAGCUGACCUAUGAUCCUGUGUGGUUCUUUUUCUUUUCUGCUCUGUAAUGGACAUCGGAAGAGCAACCUGAACACAGGCCUUUAAUGAAUUGGAUAAUGCCCACUGCAUUGGGGAAGGUGAUCUUCGCUCCUCAGUCUACCUAUUCAAAUGCUGAUCUACUCCAGAAAUACCCGCACAGACACACUCAGAAAUCACCUUUUACCGGCUACCUGGACAUUCCUGAACCCAGUCAGCCACCACAGUCUCAUGGAAUGGAAUAGCAGCCUUAAAAAGCACAUUCAUCCUGGGAAGCGAAAGCUGAUCAGUAUUUCUCCAUUGGGAUCAACAUUGAGAGUCUAAAAGAGCAGACUUGAAAAUGAUCUGCGGAAAUGGUCCGCCCUCCAACAUUUUUGAGGAACUGCUUAAAAUCUGCAGUGCUGUGGCUCCCCAUUCUCCCUGUUUCAUUGCUGUCACCUUUUCUUUUGUGGACAUGAUUAGCUGGCUUUCCUUGGCCCUGCAAUGGGCACAUUGAUCUUGAGAGUAAAAUCCUUGGUUCUGAUCCUGGCUUUUUCCCUUAGAAAUCAUGUUACCUCUCUGGGUUUUAUUUUCAUCAUCUGCAAAAUGAGACUAUUGAAUUAGGUGAACUCUAAGAUCCCUUCAAGAUCUAACAGGUGAACAGUUAUUUUCUCCAACACCAACUCUCAGGGAAGUCAAGGGAAGGGAACCCACAUUAUAUUUCUUUGGCGUCCAUGGUCUUACUCACUCAUAGAAAUGAGCAUCUAAACCAGUGCUUCCCAAACUUUAAUGUGCAUUCAAAUUGCCUGGAAUCACAUGAAAAGGAAGAUUAAGGGAUCCCGAGAAAAUGAAGAUUCUCAUUCAGUGGGUCUGGGCUGGCGGCUGAGCUUCUGCUUUUCUGACAGCUGUCAGGUGACACAGCACAACUUUGAGUAACAAGGUCUCAGUCAGGAGCUAAGUGAGGCCGAGGGGUGGGUCUGUUUUGCUCCAUGCUGGACCCCUAGUUUAACCUGUCUCAGAGUACAGUCCCACUAUGUUUGAGUACAUGAAGACUGGGGAGGGGGGGCGGUUCAGAGAGAAGGAUAAGCAGUGACUACUGAUCCUUGGGUCAGAUCUCAUCCUCAUCAUCUCCCAUUUUACUUCCCACUGGAUUGGAGGGCUAUACCACAGAACUGGUGCCUGCACUGGCCUGGGAGCAAGGGAUGGAGAGGUCAGAAACUCCGGAGAUGCUGGAGGGGGAAGCGGGUGCCUCUGAUCUCUAAGUGCCAGCUCCCAACUCAUCACCCAGAAACCACAGCUCUCAGCAUACACUCUUACAUGCUAUAUUUCCCCCCAUUGAUGUCCAUUUCAACCACUGCAAAUUAUUCAGCAGCAGUGAAGGGUUCCAUACAGUAUGACUGGCUCCUGACAUCACUGUUUUAUGGAAGGAGCACUGGCCUGAGAGGCACACUCUCUGACUAUAAUCCUGGCUGACCCACUGACUCAGGCAGUGGAUGACAGUCCAUCAAAUGCUCUGAGUUCUAGGGCAGAAAAAGCUUUUCCAACCUAACUAUUCGCAGGAGGUCAUGUUUGUGAAGGGCCUGUGGAAAUGCAACAGGUACGGUGAACAUGAGUUUGAGUUUGUGCUUUGCUGUACCAGCGAUGGCCCCCUCUGGAGGCCAGAGUUCACACCUUAUGCUUGUCUUGUCACCCAGAGCCCUCUCAGGUGUGAACACAGAGGAGGAAGUUCCCUCUUUCUCCCUCUGUCCCCACCCAAGCUCUUUGACACACACACACACAGACACAUAC